Long non-coding RNA from Anarrhichthys ocellatus (wolf-eel), 598 nucleotides. RefSeq lists it as uncharacterized. The transcript is spliced from 3 exons. The record is from RefSeq and is a predicted model, not a curated record. Lineage: Eukaryota; Metazoa; Chordata; Actinopteri; Perciformes; Anarhichadidae.
AUUUAAUGUUGUGUGUUCAUGUUUUAACAUAAUUUCUCGAUAUAUUUCACAGAAUAUUAAAGGAUGUUCACUCAGCAAGUUGACAUCAACAGUUGACACAAGAUCAAUGAGGAGUUCAGAAGAAUAACCACAGUUCAUCUGGAGCGAAACUUUUUGUCGAAAUUGGACAAUUGCACUACCAACUUUCUGGAGAUACUUGGGACAAAGGGCGGAGUUGCAGGAACCAAGACCCAUGCUGGAAUCACCCAGCCUGACUCGAAGAUGUAAACGUGAACAUUAGUAAAUUUGAAUUUCAAAGAAGUCAUUGAAGAGGACUAUGCUCAACAUGUCAUGAAGAUCCUUGUCAUCCAUGGAAAUGCAACACAGAAAGGCUUCACUCCUGACAAUCGUGUUCGUCGUCAGAGGGAAAAGAGGUUCUUGAUGACUGUCAAAGUGUGGCAAAGGCUUGCCUUCUGUUCAUGGGCUUCAUCUAUGCGUAUCCAAGUGUUGUUAAGCAACACCCAUCGUUUCAAAUUAAGUGUUGUUAAAUGACUAAAUGUUUGUGUUCUUAAAUUUCUUAUUGGCAGCACUGAUUUAGGAAUGUUUUGUCUGGCAAUGC